AGUGAACGCUGGCGGUAGGCCUAACACAUGCAAGUCGAACGGCAGCACAGUAAGAGCUUGCUCUUACGGGUGGCGAGUGGCGGACGGGUGAGGAAUACAUCGGAAUCUACUUUUUCGUGGGGGUUAACGUAGGGAAACUUACGCUAAUACCGCAUACGACCUACGGGUGAAAGCAGGGGAUCUUCGGACCUUGCGCGAUUGAAUGAGCGGAUGUCGGAUUAGUUAGUUGGCGGGGUAAAGGCCCACCAAGGCGACGAUCCGUAGCUGGUCUGAGAGGAUGAUCAGCCACACUGGAACUGAGACACGGUCCAGACUCCUACGGGAGGCAGCAGUGGGGAAUAUUGGACAAUGGGCGCAAGCCUGAUCCAGCCAUACCGCGUGGGUGAAGAAGGCCUUCGGGUUGUAAAGCCCUUUUGUUGGGAAAGAAAAGCAGCAGGUUAAUACCCCGCUGUUCUGACGGUACCCAAAGAAUAAGCACCGGCUAACUUCGUG
Molecule: ribosomal RNA, 492 nt
Filed under: uncultured bacterium
Lineage: Bacteria
Description: partial 16S ribosomal RNA
Rfam family: Bacterial small subunit ribosomal RNA
Source: RNAcentral